GAAAUAAGAUCUUUGUCUAUUGUCUGACAACUUAAUUUUAUUUUGAAAGAAGAUCAAGUAAUUGGAUCAAGAUAUUUCUCAACAAGUCUGCAUUUGUUUCUAAAUAUUGCAUGCUAACUGCCAAUUUUUAUAUAGAUUGCUGGCACAUCUACACUGGAAACAAGAGACGUGGUAUUAAAUAGAAUAUCCCUUUGUUAUUUUCUUGGCCAUACCACCGACUUAUUUCUUUAUCAUGGGAUUAUUUUAGCCCAUAACUACCACUACUUAGUGAGCAAUCAUGUGCUGAGCCUUUUUAAACUCCUCCUUAAUAACAUAUGACACAUGGUAUAUAUUUCUUUUUGAAUGAAUAAGCAUUGUGCAUGUCCCCCUCAGUGCUGAUUUAUGUAGAAGUCAGUGCAGACAGUCUCUUGUUUUACAAAUUCAUUUGUCAUUUCCUUUGUUAGUACAACCUCGUGACAAUCCGUUGAAAAGUCAAAGCUUUUUUUGCCAGUUAACUACUUUGUUUACACAGGACUAAAAUACUAAUUUUUAUAGUUGUUUUUUCACAGUAAAGUAGUAUAAAUUUUAAUAGCAAUUUAAUUUUAGGGCAAGGGCAGUAAACACCAAAGUAAAUUAUCA
This 618-nucleotide long non-coding RNA is filed under the name Marmota monax (woodchuck). Lineage: Eukaryota; Metazoa; Chordata; Mammalia; Rodentia; Sciuridae. The record is from RNAcentral.